This 276-nucleotide ribosomal RNA is filed under the name uncultured Lachnospiraceae bacterium. RNAcentral's name for it is "partial 16S ribosomal RNA". It matches the Rfam family "Bacterial small subunit ribosomal RNA", at positions 63 to 339 of the family's 1533-position model. Lineage: Bacteria; Bacillati; Bacillota; Clostridia; Lachnospirales; Lachnospiraceae. The record is from RNAcentral.
UUGACUCUUCGGAUGAUUUCUUUUGUGACUUAGUGGCGGACGGGUGAGUAACGCGUGGGUAACCUGCCUCACACAGGGGGAUAACAGUUAGAAAUGACUGCUAAUACCGCAUAACCCGAUAGGAUCGCAUGAUCCAGACGGAAAAGAUUUAUCGGUGUGAGAUGGACCCGCGUCUGAUUAGCUAGUUGGUGAGGUAACGGCCCACCAAGGCGACGAUCAGUAGCCGGCCUGAGAGGGUGAACGGCCACAUUGGGACUGAGACACGGCCCAAACUCC